AAAAAAAAAGUCUUUCACGAAACAGAUCCAAAAGCUGAUGCCACUGUCCCUUCACACCCACCGCCUCGGGCCUUCCAAAACUCCCUGCCGCCAAUGCAGAUCUCCUCGCCAGCCUGAGGCGACCCCAACACAUCAACUUCGGCCACCAUAUGAAGAUCAGAGGCAAAGAUCCAUUCAGGUCAAAACUGGACCCGAAUCUCCACUCGCCGGAAUUUCACAAUUUCCAGCCAUCUGACCCUCCAUAACUCUUAAUCUACUUCUGCUUCCACCACGUCAGCUUACGUCACUGCCACUCAACGUCACAUCAUCAGAAGGUGCCAUGUUGUCACCGCCACAUCAUCAACACAACAGCUGUCUGUGCCAUGCCAUCACUACUACAUCAUAACUGCCACAUCAACAAAAU
This 403-nucleotide unclassified non-coding RNA is filed under the name Hevea brasiliensis (rubber tree). Lineage: Eukaryota; Viridiplantae; Streptophyta; Magnoliopsida; Malpighiales; Euphorbiaceae. The record is from RNAcentral.